CUCAAGCCUGUAAUCCCAGCACUUUGGGAGGCCGAGGCGGGAGGAUCACUUGAGCCCAGGAGUUCAAAACCAUACUGAGCAAUAUAGUGGAACCCCUAACUCUA
Molecule: long non-coding RNA, 104 nt
Organism: Sapajus apella (tufted capuchin)
Lineage: Eukaryota; Metazoa; Chordata; Mammalia; Primates; Cebidae
Exons: 2
Source: RefSeq, a predicted model, not a curated record